CGUGGUAUGGUUCAAAGAAUACUGGUUUUGAAAUUCAAGGUUCCUGGGUUAAAUCCCAGUUCUAUGU
RNAcentral lists this transfer RNA (67 nucleotides) under Sarcophilus harrisii (Tasmanian devil). It matches the Rfam family "tRNA". Rfam says of the family: Transfer RNA (tRNA) molecules are approximately 80 nucleotides in length. Their secondary structure includes four short double-helical elements and three loops (D, anti-codon, and T loops). The record is from Rfam by way of RNAcentral. Lineage: Eukaryota; Metazoa; Chordata; Mammalia; Dasyuromorphia; Dasyuridae.